This 242-nucleotide unclassified non-coding RNA is filed under the name Hevea brasiliensis (rubber tree). The record is from RNAcentral. Lineage: Eukaryota; Viridiplantae; Streptophyta; Magnoliopsida; Malpighiales; Euphorbiaceae.
AGCGGGUUCAAGCUGGCCGCGUGGAUCUCAACCAGAACAUCGUCUUCCCGCAGAACUGGCUCCGGCAUGUCGCCGAAGCGCAGAGCGCCCUUCUUUUUGUAUUGAUCGAGGAUGAAAGCCUUCAUGAUGUAAAUUUCUCUGCGUUAAGUCGUUUUCUGCCGAACUUGGCCACUUACUGCUGGCGUUCCCAAAUCUGCGAACGACCCAGCGUCGGCACACCGAUGUAACCGCGCACGUUGAGC